UACGAAGGGGGCUAGCGUUGCUCGGAAUCACUGGGCGUAAAGGGUACGUAGGCGGAUUGUUAAGUCAGGGGUGAAAUCCUGGAGCUCAACUCCAGAACUGCCUUUGAUACUGGGGAUCUUGAGUUCGGGAGAGGUGAGUGGAACUGCGAGUGUAGAGGUGAAAUUCGUAGAUAUUCGCAAGAACACCAGUGGCGAAGGCGGCUCACUGGCCCGGUACUGACGCUCAGGUGCGAAAGCGUGGGGAGCAAACAGG
This 253-nucleotide ribosomal RNA is filed under the name uncultured bacterium. Its description in RNAcentral is "partial 16S ribosomal RNA". It matches the Rfam family "Bacterial small subunit ribosomal RNA", at positions 524 to 776 of the family's 1533-position model. The record is from RNAcentral.